CGAACGCUGGCGGCAUGCCUAACACAUGCAAGUCGAAGGGACCUUCGGGUCUAGUGGCGCACGGGUGCGUAACGCGUGGGAACCUGCCUUUAGGUUCGGAAUAACUCAGAGAAAUUUGAGCUAAUACCGGAUGAUGUCUUCGGACCAAAGAUUUAUCGCCUUUAGAUGGGCCCGCGUUGGAUUAGCUAGUUGUGGGGUAAAGGCCUACCAAGGCGACGAUCCAUAGCUGGUCUGAGAGGAUGAUCAGCCACACUGGGACUGAGACACGGCCCAGACUCCUACGGGAGGCAGCAGUGGGGAAUAUUGGACAAUGGGCGAAAGCCUGAUCCAGCAAUGCCGCGUGAGUGAUGAAGGCCUUAGGGUUGUAAAGCUCUUUUACCCGAGAUGAUAAUGACAGUAUCGGGAGAAUAAGCUCCGGCUAACUCCGUG
This 429-nucleotide ribosomal RNA is filed under the name uncultured bacterium. RNAcentral describes it as "bacterial SSU rRNA". It matches the Rfam family "Bacterial small subunit ribosomal RNA", at positions 30 to 507 of the family's 1533-position model. The record is from RNAcentral.